GCGGUAAUACAGAGGGUGCGAGCGUUAAUCGGAUUUACUGGGCGUAAAGCGUGCGUAGGCGGCUUUUUAAGUCGGAUGUGAAAUCCCCGAGCUUAACUUGGGAAUUGCAUUCGAUACUGGGAAGCUAGAGUAUGGGAGAGGAUGGUAGAAUUCCAGGUGUAGCAGUGAAAUGCGUAGAGAUCUGGAGGAAUACCGAUGGCGAAGGCAGCCAUCUGGCCUAAUACUGACGCUGAGGUACGAAAGCAUGGGGAGCAAACAGGAUUAGAUACCCUGGUAGUCCAUGCCGUAAACGAUGUCUACUAGCCGUUGGGGCCUUUGAGGCUUUAGUGGCGCAGCUAACGCGAUAAGUAGACCGCCUGGGGAGUACGGUCGCAAGACUAAAACUCAAAUGAAUUGACGGGGGCCCGCACAAGCGGUGGAGCAUGUGGUUUAAUUCGAUGCAACGCGAAGAACCUUACCUGGCCUUGACAUACUAGAAACUUUCCAGAGAUGGAUUGGUGCCUUCGGGAAUCUAGAUACAGGUGCUGCAUGGCUGUCGUCAGCUCGUGUCGUGAGAUGUUGGGUUAAGUCCCGCAACGAGCACAACCCUUUUCCUUACUUGCCAGCAUUUCGGAUGGGAACUUUAAGGAUACUGCCAGUGACAAACUGGAGGAA
RNAcentral lists this ribosomal RNA (654 nucleotides) under uncultured Acinetobacter sp. RNAcentral's name for it is "bacterial SSU rRNA". It matches the Rfam family "Bacterial small subunit ribosomal RNA", at positions 517 to 1171 of the family's 1533-position model. The record is from RNAcentral. Lineage: Bacteria; Pseudomonadati; Pseudomonadota; Gammaproteobacteria; Moraxellales; Moraxellaceae.